UAGAGCUACUGAAACACUAGUUCUUGUCUGAUCACCAAAGCUAAGCAACAUUGAACCUGGCCAGUACCUAGAUGGGUGACCACUCAGAAAUACCACGUGCUGUAAG
Acanthosepion pharaonis is the source of this 106-nucleotide non-coding RNA. Lineage: Eukaryota; Metazoa; Mollusca; Cephalopoda; Sepiida; Sepiidae. The record is from the annotation of a GenBank genome assembly.